This 606-nucleotide long non-coding RNA is filed under the name Callithrix jacchus (white-tufted-ear marmoset). RNAcentral's name for it is "lncRNA (ENSCJAG00000074602.1)". The record is from RNAcentral. Lineage: Eukaryota; Metazoa; Chordata; Mammalia; Primates; Cebidae.
CUGUUGAGGAAUGAUUAGGUCAUGACAGUGGAGCCCUCAUAGAUGGGAUUACAGCCUUUAUUAAAUAAAUAAAUAAAUGAAUGACUAAAUGGAAAAAAAAAAACCUGAGGGGUUUUCCUCUUUCUCCCCUAGGACACAGAAAGAAGGGGCUGUCUAUGAACCAGGAAACAAGUCCUCACCAGACAUAAAAUCUGUCAAUGCCUUGAUCCUGGCCUUCCCAGCCUCCAGAACUUAAUACUGAGAGUGGCAGAAGAGGGAAAUUACCAUGAGAGUGGAAGUGACCACAUUGCUCUUCAACUCUCGCUGCUGAUUCUUAGGCAUUGAUUUUGCUGAUUCGAUGGAUACAGCAGAAAAGAAAAUGGAAAGAAUGCUAGAACUGGAGUUGCAUUACAUUGGAAAAGGCAUGGAAAUGUCACUGAGGAAGAGAUGGGCAUGAAAGGUAUUGGGACUGACAUCAAAGAGUGGGUGGGGUAAAGAGUGCAUUUGAGAAGAGAGUAGAGAGGAGACUUUUGGGCUGCCAAUGGGAAUGGAAUUCGGGUGGAGAGAAGUAAAUAAAGCAUACAUUGCAAAGUGUUUUUGCUAGAGCAAAACAUUCACUUCAUAGUG